AGGGAAUGACCCUCAUACAACCCAAGGAAGAAUCAACUCACUUCUUCAUGAGGAAACGGUUGAUGGUCUUCUGCUUCCGCAUCACCUGGACAAUCUUCCGGUUCAGCUCCCUCAGCUCCUCACCCAAUAACAGCAAAGGCUGGCAGCUCCUGGAGGUCGAAGGGGAAGUCAAGCCGGAACCGGGUUUUGAACAGAGCCGUGAUGGUCUCUGAAGGGAAACAGAGCAGCAGAGGGAGACAGCCAAGACCCGGAAGAUGAAGGCGCUGAAGGUGGCAGCAAAGAAGCCCCGCCAGUAGUUGCGCACCGCAAAGAAGGUGGAG
This is a long non-coding RNA of Capra hircus (goat), 320 nucleotides long. RefSeq lists it as uncharacterized. Lineage: Eukaryota; Metazoa; Chordata; Mammalia; Artiodactyla; Bovidae. The record is from RefSeq and is a predicted model, not a curated record. The transcript is spliced from 3 exons.